Molecule: non-coding RNA, 3780 nt
Organism: Callithrix jacchus (white-tufted-ear marmoset)
Lineage: Eukaryota; Metazoa; Chordata; Mammalia; Primates; Cebidae
Source: RefSeq, a predicted model, not a curated record
CUAAUGUAGACCCUAUUACUGAGGGUGGUUCUAGAGAAACAGAAUUUUAAGAAUGAGGUUUCUAUAUUGGUUCUUGGAUUUUUGGAACUGACUUUCUAAUCUGAUUAGGUUUGAGGAUGUGAAGACUAUUUUCAGUAGUAAAGAGAGCAUUGCUGUUCCUUGGCAUUAACUGCUGAGAUAUUAUAUGAACUACCUACAUACAGCAUUUUUAGUCAACCACUUAUAAGAAGCAAAGAGCUGGGUGACUGUGUUUAAUACUUUCAAGCAUUUUUGGAAAAAUAACAAAUACAGUGAGAUUAACUGACUGCUACUAAUGUGACUGAAAAAGCAGUGAAAGAAAAAAAUGAUCACAAAGAUUCAAACUUCAAGCUCAAGUAUGACAUAAAUGACCUGAUGAUAUCCAUGUGUGCACUGAAAAAGACCCUUAUCUGCUGUAGCCAGAAGGCUGAAAUUGCUGAAAAUCAGAUGAAGAAUCUCAUCCUGUAACUGGCUGAAUUACAAUGGAAAUUGAACUCCAGUAUUGAUUAGGAAAAAAUGGGAUCCUGUUAAUUGGGAUGGUAAUCUGUGGGAAAACACUGAUGAAGCUGGGAACAUCAGUCUGCUAAAUUCUGAGUCUUUUCUGCCAGUGAGAAAUGUGCCCCUACCUGCAGGAAGAGUGACCUCCCAUUCCAUGUCCUCCCAACUCCCAGCAGUAUCAGUCUUUCCAUCCUUUUCUUGUCUGAGGAAAUGAACCCUGCAUUGCCUACGGAACCCAUAAUGACCUUCUCUGAGGUAGUUGCCAUUAAAAGACAUUGCUGAUUGUCUUCAGGAUAAGCCCCCACCAGCCCUAUUUCUUCUAGACCUGUAACUACUCACAAAUCUCAGCAGAUCUCCAAAGGUGAGAUACAAAGUAUAACUGAUGAGGAAUUAUCUUACACUCCAAAAAAGUUACUUGAGUUUUCUAAUUUCUACAAAAAGAAAUCCAGGGAACAUGUAUGUAGAAAUGGAUACUAAGAGUAUGGGAUAAUGUGGGAAACAACAUAUAGUUAGAUUAGGUCAAAUUUAAGAUAAAAGAUCACUAAGCAGAGAUUUUGCAUUUAAUGUUGAUGUUGGGGGAAAUUAAAAAGGAUUCUAACAGUUUUGUUGGUUGGUUGGCUAAAACAUGGACCAAAACAUAGCCUGCAAUGAGCAAAUUAGAAAUGCCAGACCAGCCUUGGUUUAAUGUAGAGAAAGGAAUUUAACAGCUUCAGAAGAUUCGAGUGUUAGAGGAGAUUUUGUCAUUGAAGAUCUACUCAUUUACACUGGAAGGGUCCAGAAGACAUACAUUUCUCUACUAGUAUGAGAACCAAAUUUGUGAGGGGAGCCCUGGUAUUUUGGAAUUAUUUUGUGAUCACUCUUUUAGGCAAGACCUGGGAGUGGGAACUACAGCCAGUAAAUCAGGAAUCCUAAAUUUGAUGGGAGUAAUUGAUUCCAGCGUGGAAGGAUUAAAGCAGUGGCACUCAGUCAUCAAAGGAAAGCUGCCUGCACCUGUGUCUUACUGAAGAGCUUCUUAAUAUCAGUAACGAGUCAAGAGAAAACUCUGGGCUGGUUUACAGAUGGUUCUGUAAGAUAUGCUGACAUCACCCAAAAGUAGACAGCUGAAGGAUUACAGCCUGUUUCUGGGACAUCCCUGAAGAGCAAUGGCAUGAUGACUCAAAAGGCAAAGAAGAGAGUUACUGUGCUGACUGGGGUGAUUGACCCUGACUACCAACACACAGUUGGACUACUGUUCUGCAAUGCAGGCAAGGAAGAAUAUGGCUGGAACAUAGGAGAUCUCUUACAGUGUCUUUUAAUGUUACCAUAUCCAGUGAUUAAGGUCAGUGGAAAACUACAACAACCCAGCCCAGAAAGUUUGGGUCACCCUACCAAGUAAAGAACCACAACCAGCUGAGGUGCUUGCUGAAGGUAAAAGGAAUACAGAAUGGGUGGUGGAAGAAGGUAGUAAUAAGUACCAGCUGUGACUUUGUGGUCAAUUACGGAAGUGUAAUUGCCAUGAGUAUUUGCUCCUUCUUUUGUUAUGUACAUUGUAUGUAUGUAUAUGCAAAUCUUUGUUUUCUCUCAUUUCUUUAUCAUGCAACAUGAUAUGUUUUGACUUUAUGUUGUAGUAUUUAAGUAUUAUUAAUUUUAUAUAAGAAUGUUUCAGUUACAGGAUUUUAAAGAAGAGUAGUUAUCACUCAAGGACUUUAUCAUCUCUUCUGGGAAAGGGUUUAGUACAGUUUUGGGCAAAAACAUGAUAGUUGUAUUAUAUUAGGCAGAAUUAUGGCCUUAUUGUUGCAUUUAUUUGGAGAUUAUGGUUUAAGGAGUUGUUUUGGGGUACCAAGUUGACAAGAAAUGGACUUGUGAUGGUUAAUUUUAUGCAUCAAAUUGAAAAGGACAGACAUCUAGUUAAACAUUAUUUCUGGGUGUGUCUCUGAGAGUGUUUCUGGAAGAAAUUAGAACUUGAAUCAGUGGACUGAGUGAAGCAGAUUGCCUUUCCCAAUGUGGGUGGUCAUGAUCCAAUCUGAGUGCCUGAAUGGAACAAAAAAGUAGAGGAGGAAAGAAUUCACUCUUUCUGUCGGGCUGUUUGACCUGGCAUGUCAGUCUUCUUCUGUCCUUGGACUGGGACUUACAUAAGUACUAUUGGUUCUCAGGCCUUUGGAUUUGAAUGGGAAUUUACACCAUCAGUUCUCCUGAUUCUCAGGCCUUUAAAGUCAGACUGAAAUAUACCACUGGCUGUCCUGGGUCCCUAGCUUGUGGAUAGCAAAUUAUGAUUAUAGUACUCCAUAAUCUCAUGAGCGAAUUUCUUAUAAUAACUCUAUAUAAUUGUGUAUGUGUGUGUCGGGGGGUGAGUGGGUGGAUGGGUGUCUCAUCCUAUGAGUUCUUUUUCACUGAAAAAUGCUGUUGAAUACAAUGUCCAGUAGGUGAAUUGAUACGCUGUGGUACAUCCACAGAAUACAAUAUUAUUCAGUGCUAAAAAUAAAUGAGCUAUCAAGUCAUGAAUAGACAUGGAAAAACACUAAAUGUAUAUUACUAAGUAAAAUAAACCAAUCUGAAAAAAAAAAGACUACAAACCAUAUGAUUCCAACUAUAUGACAUUCUGGAAAAGGCAGAAGUGUGGAGACAGUAAAAAGAUGCCCCCACCCCUAAAAUUAAGGGGAAGAAGGGAUCAAUUGGAUUAACACAGAGGAUUUUUAGGGUAAACUAUUCUACAUGAUACUACAAUAAUGGAUACAUGUCAUUAUACAUUUCUCAAUAUCUAUAGAAUAUAGAGCACUUACAGUGAACUCUAAUGUAAACAAUGGGCUUUGGGUAAUAAUGAUGAGUCAGUGUAGUUCAUCGGCUCUCUGAUUGUAACAGAUGCACCUCUGUAGUGUCAGAUGCCCACAGUGAGAGAAGCUGUGCAUUUAUGGGGGCAGGGCUACAUGAAAAUCUUCUAUUCAAUUUUUCUGUGUGGCUAAAACUUCUUUAAAAAAAUAAAGUAUGUUUAAAUAGAUGAAUGUUAGGUUAUCUGGGGUUCACAAUGGAGGUGACCACAUCCUUUGACACCUUAGUAUUCAAAUUGCAUAUUCAGUUAUUGGCCACUUUGACAUGACAGUAUGAUAACAAAAUCAAUCUUGUCAUAUUAAUUCUAUCAAAUUAUUUAAUUUUCAGGCAAUAGUAAAAAAUAUAUCCUAUGAACAAAGUUAGUUUAGAGAAGAACAGGGAAUUACAACAUUUAAAAUCAAUAUUAAUGGCACUGAACUCACAUUACAGAACAUUAGCAUAUAUCUAUAGUUAAAAACA